Molecule: ribosomal RNA, 207 nt
Filed under: uncultured bacterium
Lineage: Bacteria
Description: partial 16S ribosomal RNA
Rfam family: Bacterial small subunit ribosomal RNA
Source: RNAcentral
CGCGUAGGUGGUUUCGUGUGUCGAUGGUGAAAUCCUACAGCUCAACUGUAGAACUGCCAUCGAAACUACGGAGCUUGAGGGCAGGAGGGGAGAGUGGAAUUCCUAGUGUAGCGGUGAAAUGCGUAGAUAUUAGGAGGAACGCCGGUGGCGAAAGCGAUUCUCUGGACUGUUUCUGACACUGAGGCGCGAAAGCUAGGGGAGCAAACA